GUCUAGGGCCAUGCCACCCUGAAUGUGCCGGAUCUCGUCUGACCUCGGAAGCUAAGCAGGGUCAGGCCUGGUUAGUACUUGAAUGGGAGACCACCUAGGAAUACUGGGUGCUGUAGGCG
Molecule: ribosomal RNA, 119 nt
Filed under: Pteropus alecto (black flying fox)
Lineage: Eukaryota; Metazoa; Chordata; Mammalia; Chiroptera; Pteropodidae
Source: RNAcentral